This 266-nucleotide small RNA is filed under the name Arabidopsis thaliana (thale cress). RNAcentral describes it as "ATSL117370". Lineage: Eukaryota; Viridiplantae; Streptophyta; Magnoliopsida; Brassicales; Brassicaceae. The record is from RNAcentral.
UAAAUCAAAGACCUUGCUCCUUGUAUUUCUCGUACAGAACAUUCAGUUCCUUGUAGUUCGCAUCCGUCAGACCACUGCAAGUUAAUCAGGAAGUUUAGUUUUGAUUUCAUCUAUUUGAUUGACUUUAAGCAAAAUCUUAAAUUUGAACAAACGAAGACCAAUAUUACUCGAAAUCUCUGUUUAUAUUUUAACAAACCUAUGUUGCGGUUAAGAAAAAAGGACAAGUACUAAUCAAACCAAACUGAACCGGAUUGAACAAGUACUAA